GCUCAAAUGAGGAAGUGCUUACGGUGGAUACCUAGGAACCCAUAGAUGAGGAAGGGCGUGGUAAGCGAUGAAAUUCUUUGGGGAGUUGAAAAUGAGCAUAGAUCCGGAGAUUCCCGAAUAGGUUAACCUUUUUUACUGUUUCUUAAUCCAUGGGAAGGCAAGAGACAAACUGAUGAACUGAAACAUCUUAGUAUCCAGAGGAAUAGAAAUAAAAAGUGAUUCCCGUAGUAGAGGUAAGCGAAAUGGGAGCAACCUAAAUCGUGAAAACAGGAUUGUGGGAGAACACAAUAUAAUCUCUGUGUUGCUAGGCGAAGUGGUUGAGUCCUACACCCUAGAUGGUGAGAGUCCAGUAGCCAAAAGCAUCAUUGGGUUACGCUCUAACUAGAGUAACAUGGGGCACGUGGAAUCCUGUGUGAAUCAGAAAGGACCACCUUGCAAGGCUAAAUACUCCUGGGUGACGGAUAGCGAAGUAGUACCAUGAGGUAAAGGUGAAAAGAACCCCCAUCGGGGAGUGAAAUAGAACAUGAAACCAUAAGCUCCCAAGAAGUUGGAGGAAAAUGAUAUCUCUGACCGCAUGCCUAUUGAAGAAUGAGUCAACAACUUAUAGGCAGUGGCUUGGUUAAGGGAACCCACCGGAUCUGUAGCGAGAGAGAGUAUUCAUGGGGUGAUUGCCAUUUCUUAUGGACCCAAAACUCGGUGAUCUAUCCAUGACCAAGAUGAAUCUUGGGUGAAACUAAGUGGAGGUCUGAACCAAUUGAUGCUGAAAAAUUAACGGAUGAGUCGUGGUUAGGGGUGAAAUGCCACUCAAACCCAGAGCUAGCUGGUUCUCCCCGAAAUGCGUUGAGGCAUAGCAGUUGAUUGGACCAUCUAGGGGUAAAGCACUAUUUCGGUACGGGCCACAAGAGUGGUACCAAAUUGAGGAAAACUCUAAAUACUAUAUUGCCCCAAUAAAAGGGGUAAAGGUCAACUAGUGAGACGAUGUGGGAUAAGCUUCAUCAUCGAGAGGGAAACAACCCAAAUCAUCAACUAAGGCCCCUAAAUGACCUCUCAGUGAUGAAGGAAGUACGAGUGCAAAGACAACGAGGAGGUUUGCCUAGAAGCAUCCAACCUUGAAAGAGUAUGUAGUAGCUCAUUGAUCGAGUUCUAGUACACCGAUGAUGAAUGGGACUAAGCGAUCUGUCGAGGCUGUGGGAUGUAAAAUUACAUUGGUAGGGGAGAAUUCCACCUCAGAUGGAAGCAUCAACACGAGCAGGUGUGGACGAAGCAGAAGUGAUAAUGUCGGCUUGAGUAGCGUAAACAUUGGUGAGAAUCCAAUGCCCCCAAAACCUAAGGGUUCCUCUGCAAGGUUCAUCCAUGGAGGGUGAUUCAAGGCCUAAGAUUAGGCUGAAAGGUUUAGUUGAUGGAAAACAAGUUAAUAUUCCUGCACUACCCCUUGUUGGUCUCGAGAGACAGAGGAGUCUAGGUUAGCCGAAAGAUGGUUAUCAGUUCAAGGACGUAAGGUGACCCUCUAUACAUUGAUUCAAAGGUAAAAGAAGAAUCAAAUAUAGGUGUGUACCAGGUGAUGUUGGGGGUGGAUAUUCCUCAUCAUCUACUCUAGUUCACAAAAAUCCAAUAUGGCUUAUCCAAACAUUAUAGGAUGCACAAAAUCAUGUAGGAGCACCCAUAUCAUCAAUGACGGUGAGUAUACCUCCUAGGAGAUAUGUUAACCAUAUUGUAUUAGAUUCUUCCAUUUUUGAUCUUUACAAUUGUUUUGAGGAGGUGAUGUGUGAUACUUUGUUGGAUGAGUGUGAUGUUUUGGGGGUAGUUCCUUUCUAGGAGCCAGUGGUUGAUUUAGAGAUUGCAACAUGUUAAAAUUUGCAGAAGGAAAGUUUGUUUGAGUUGCAAAGGGAGCAAAAUGAUGUUGGUGAAAACACUUUCCUCAUAAAGAGGGUGUG
This is a non-coding RNA of Picea glauca (white spruce), 1934 nucleotides long. The record is from Rfam. Lineage: Eukaryota; Viridiplantae; Streptophyta; Pinopsida; Pinales; Pinaceae.